Long non-coding RNA from Cyprinus carpio (common carp), 1806 nucleotides. Lineage: Eukaryota; Metazoa; Chordata; Actinopteri; Cypriniformes; Cyprinidae. The record is from Ensembl.
AUGGCUCUCACCUCUGGGCUGGACACAGCGUACUGUAAGUACAGGGUUCGCUCUAUUCCUCCUCGUGUUAUUCACUCUCUCUCUCCUUUUCUCUCCACAGGUAUCAACUUGGGCACAAUAGCACAGUUAGUUUGCUUUGAAUGGCUCUCACCUCUGGGCUGGACACAGCGUACUGUAAGUACAGGGUUCGCUCUAUUCCACCUCGUGUUAUUCACUCUCUCUCCUUUUCUCUCCACAGGCAUCAACUUGGGCACACUAGCACAGUUAGUUUGCUUUGAAUGGCUCUCACCUCUGGGCUGGACACAGCGUACUGUAAGUACAGGGUUCGCUCUAUUCCUCCUCGUGUUAUUCACUCUCUUUCCUUUCCUCUCCACAGGUAUCAACUUGGACGCAAAGCACAGUUACUCUGCUUUGGAUGGCUUUCACCUCUGGGCUGGACACAGCGUACUGUAAGUACAGGGUUCGCUCUAUUCCUCCUCGUGUUAUUCACUCUCUUUCCUUUCCUCUCCACAGGUAUCAACUUGGACGCAAAGCACAGUUACUCUGCUUUGGAUGGCUUUCACCUCUGGGCUGGACACAGCGUACUGUGCUAUCUCCGGAGAUCUGAAGCACGCUCACAACAUAUACUGUACUGAACUAGGCUAGGACCAGCAGUCUCCUUGUCCUCCCGCGACGAAGUGCGUGAAGGCGGGGGUUUAUCUGACAGGACACACGGCAAUACACAGCAGCCCACAGCAAUAUACAGCACCACGUCAAAAUUAUAGGUUUUCACAGCAUGAAGACUCACCCACCACACUCAGUGUACGAAAAGGACACCCGUCUUCCUUCACUUCGCUUGGUUCGGAUCUGGCGAUGGAAUAUGCGGCCUAGCUAGUGAUGUCGUCGUUGUGACUACUUCAAUAAGUAUUCCUUCGGCUCUCCCACCACGCUAUAUUAGGGGUAGGGCCGCCCUCCUCCUCCUGGAGAGAUCUACACAACGCCAGGUCAAUAUACAGGGCACUUUCGACUGGCUCUUAGUACUCACAUCAAUGCCGCUUCCAAUCCCCUUUUUCACGUCGUCUCAGUUCGCCGUAUAAUCCGUUCACUUCUCAACCUUUAAGGUUCGCGAUGUCUUCACAAUCAUACAAUUCCAGCCUGAGGGAGAGAGAGAGUUAGACAGCCACCAGCAGCGCACCAAGACGGGCACAACACAGUGCUUCACACACACCAGAAAGAGCACCCAGACUGUGAAAUAACUUGGCCUUAAGUACUGCCUUGUCCAGCGUAUCCUCCAAUCACCAACCGCUGUCCCUAACUAGGCACAGGUGCAUCGAAUUCCCUGAUUUUCCUUCUUACGGCGCUACCGGAAGUUCCGGUGUUCUGUUUUUCCGGUCCGGGCGGAAACACUUCCGGGCGGAACCAAACUUCCCGAAUUUUGGUUCCGCCCCUAAAGAUCGUCACCUUGUGACAAUUAUUUUUAUAUACUUUUUGAAACCCUGUCUCUGUCGUUUUUUCUAACUGGUUAUUUCUGAUGUUAUUAGUUUACUGUGAAUGUAAUAAUACAUGUAAAAAAAAAACCAUACACAUUUCAUUUAUGUUGCAUUUUAAUAUGUUGCAUUUACAGUAAAUUAGUAAUACUGUGAAAUAUUGUUUCAAUGUAAAAUGUAAUUUAUUCCUGUGAUGCAAAGCUGAAUUUUUAGCAUCAUUACUCCAGUCUUCGGUGUGACAUGAUCCUUCAGAAAUCAUUCACACACACACACUGGGAGCACAGGAACAAAGGAGCGAGGAGAUGAGGAAUAAAGUAAAUUUCAAAGUUUUUAAUAAACA